CCUACGGGUGGCAGCAGUAGGGAAUAUUGCUCAAUGGGGGAAACCCUGAAGCAGCAACGCCGCGUGGAGGAUGAAGGUUUUCGGAUUGUAAACUCCUUUUGUUAGAGAAGAUAAUGACGGUAUCUAACGAAUAAGCACCGGCUAACUCCGUGCCAGCAGCCGCGGUAAUACGGAGGGUGCACGCGUUACUCGGAAUCACUGGGCGUAAAGAGCGCGUAGGCGGGAUAGCAAGUCAGAUGUGAAAGCCUAGGGCUUAACCAUAGAACUGCAUUUGAAACUGUUAUUCUUGAGUGUGGGAGAGGUAGGUGGAAUUCGUGGUGUAGCGGUAAAAUGCGUAGAGAUCAAGAGGAAUACUGAUUGCGAAGGCGACCGGCUAGAACAUAACUGACGCUGAUGCGCGAAAGCGUGGGGAGCAAACAGGAUUAGAUACCCCAGUAGUC
Molecule: ribosomal RNA, 440 nt
Filed under: uncultured bacterium
Lineage: Bacteria
Description: partial 16S ribosomal RNA
Rfam family: Bacterial small subunit ribosomal RNA
Source: RNAcentral